This 465-nucleotide ribosomal RNA is filed under the name uncultured bacterium. RNAcentral's name for it is "partial 16S ribosomal RNA". It matches the Rfam family "Bacterial small subunit ribosomal RNA", at positions 338 to 795 of the family's 1533-position model. The record is from RNAcentral.
CCUACGGGAGGCAGCAGUGGGGAAUAUUGCGCAAUGGGCGAAAGCCUGACGCAGCGACGCCGCGUGAGGGAUGAAGGUCUUCGGAUUGUAAACCUCUGUCAGCAGGGAAGAACGGUCACUGUGCUAAUCAGCAGUGAAUUGACGGUACCUUCAAAGGAAGCACCGGCUAACUCCGUGACAGCAGCUGAGGUAAUACGGAGGGUGCUAGCGUUAAUCGGAAUUACUGGGCGGAAAGCGCACGUAGGCGGUAUGUCAAGUCAAGGGUGAAAUCCCCGCGCUCAACGUGGGAACUGCCUUUGAAACUGGCAAACUGGAGUGUGUGAGAGGAUAGUGGAAUUCCAGGUGUAGGAGUGAAAUCCGUAGAUAUCUGGAGGAACAUCAGUGGCGAAGGCGACUAUCUGGCACAUAACUGACGCUGAGGAGCGAAAGCGUGGGUAGCAAACAGGAUUAGAUACCCCGGUAGUC